Molecule: ribosomal RNA, 283 nt
Filed under: uncultured bacterium
Lineage: Bacteria
Description: partial 16S ribosomal RNA
Rfam family: Bacterial small subunit ribosomal RNA
Source: RNAcentral
UGUCCUACGGGGGGCAGCAGUGGGGGAUAUUGCACAAUGGGGGAAGCCCUGAUGCAGCGACGCCGCGUGGACGAAGAAGUAUUUCGGUAUGUAAAGUCCUAUCAGCAGGGAAGAAGAAAUGACGGUACCUGACUAAGAAGCCCCGGCUAACUACGUGCCAGCAGCCGCGGUAAUACGUAGGGGGCAAGCGUUAUCCGGAUUUACUGGGUGUAAAGGGAGCGCAGGCGGCAGCGCAAGUCUGAUGUGAAAGCCCGGGGCCCACCCGCGGGCCUGCAUUGGAAAC